Molecule: long non-coding RNA, 6788 nt
Filed under: Sus scrofa (pig)
Lineage: Eukaryota; Metazoa; Chordata; Mammalia; Artiodactyla; Suidae
Description: lncRNA (ENSSSCG00005015450.1)
Source: RNAcentral
UUUUUUUUUUUUUUUUUUUUUUUUGGUUUAUGGCUGUUAUGAAACAUCUGGAUGAUUUAUAUUUUUGACAGGUAGAAUCUCCGUUUUGAUGCAUUGGCCUUCCUCCUUUGAGUUCACAGUGGAUACUAGUCCCUCUCUGUGAGACUUAAUUACACUGUAGACUUGAGUUUUUGCGUGGAAAUAACCCUUAGCUGCUGCUGCUCAGAAGUCAAACCAGAUAAUACUUCCUUUCUGCUAAUACUGAUGGUAGCUUUUAGACAGCAAGUCACCUAAAUUACAGGUACAAUCUAACAUGCUUGAAGCUGACCUGAAUGUCUGCAUACCAUCAGGUUGCUCUAGAAGAGUGAGCAGAGGAGGGAAAAGGUGGUGCCGAGGGUAAUUCCUGGAAUCUGAAUGUCAUAGGCUCCCUCUACCAGAGGAACAACUCUGAUCUUAAUCUAAAUAAAUUUGAAUUGGUCCCUCAUUGUCGGGAUUCCUGUAGCAUCCUUUAGUGUUGGUGUUUGGCCAUGCUUUCUAAAAGCUGAUGACUAGCUCCCUAGAUGCAGGAAAUCCCUUUGUGGCAUUCUGGCAUUAUUCGCACAGUGGAAACUCAUGCUUGGUGAAGACAGAUAAAACUGGUGAGUUUCAAGGUUCAGAACACACGUUACUAGCUGAGUACCGAAAUUUGUUUUGAGAUAGGGGAAAGUGAGUGUGGGAUUCAGAUUUCAGAAGGAAAAACCAGAUGCUGCAACUUGGAGUCCUUGUUGAUACUUUAAUCCAACCCCUUAGACCAUCAAAUCGGGCAGUAUAUGACUAAAAGGGCACGGAUCAGAUUGUUGAAACUGGGGGUCUGGCCACGUGAAUGAACCCUUUUCUGCCCAGAGUGCCGUGAUGCAACGCAGCAUCGAAGUUGAACCGAGGGAACGGGACGAAGGUGAGGCUCAGAAGACACUGUUGAAAACCCUCAGACAAUGCAACGCGACCAAGUUACGGAUUAGGUUUAAAAAUGCCACCCCUGCUCUGUGCAGAACGGCCAUCCCCUAACUCCUCAGGCUGCCUUCUCUUCCUCCCUCAGACUUGACUUUUGAGAGUCACCUGAGCGAAGCCUUCCCUAAGCACCUGUGCAAACAGCUGCUCUCGCCUCCUGUCCUCACGACUGUUCCCUGCAUUUCCUUGGAAGUUACCCCAGUCUGAAGUUGUCUGCUUGGUACCUCCUCCUCAGAGCCAGCCUCUCCCCUAGCGUCCUGUCUGGUCCAGAAGAAGCAUCUGAUUGUGCAAACAGUCAGGCCUUUGCCCUCUAAGAACCUGGCACCUAGGCACCUGGGCACAUUGGGUUUUCCUCUCCAGAUGACUGGCACUCGGGGCCGGCCCUCUGACAGUUUCCACGUCUGUAAACGAGAAUGUUCAGAGGAGAGGGGUAGCUGUUGCCCAAAAUGCAGGAGACUCUAGGAGGGAGAGGUGGGAAAGUGGUGUGGGGACAACUCUGGGUCGCCAGGCAGAAGAGCUGCAAUGGCCCUUUGCCGACAGGAAGCUAUCCAACCUCACCUGUUUCCGCCUCUCGGAGAUGGGGACUGGGAGCCCCGCCUCCCCUUACAGGGACCUUGUGGGGAUCCAGCGAGAUAACGUGUUAGAAAGCGCUUUGUGGGGAGUUUCCGUCAUGGCGCAGCGGGAACGAAUCCGACUAGGAACCAUGAGGUCGCGGGUUCGAUCCCAGGCCUCGCUCAGUGGGUUAAGGAUCCAGCAUGGCUGUGGCUGUGGUGUAGGUUGGCAACUACAGCUCCAGUUCCACCCCUAGCCUGGGAACUUUCAUAUGCCGUGGGUGUGGCCCUAAAAAGACAAAAAGACAAGAAAAAGAAAACGCUUUGUAAUGUGUGGAGUGCUUUGCAAAAAUACAAGACAUUCUACAAAGUUGUGGAUUUUACCAGAGAGCCUGGUUACAACGCCAGCCUUGGGGCCCGCGCUGCCAGUGCAGUAAAAGGAGGCCCCCUGGGGAGAUAGAGGAACCCCUUUUUGUAGGUGAAGACAGCCCUUUGUUGUGUCAAGUGUCAUGCUGUCAUGGGAUUCCUAAUGGGCUGGGGGGAUGAGCAUGUCACUAAAAGCUGACGGUUUCAAAAGACCUGUUUGAAGUGGUCACAGAAUAUAAGGCUGAUACCUCAACCCGCCCUUUUUAAAGGACAUGGAGGACCAACCUGUAAAUAAUAACAGGUUUGAGGGCAUUGACGUCAAAGAGGCACUUUCAUAGCUAAGGGUUCCCCACGAAAAACGAUUAGCAGGCAGCCAAUCCCCAGCACCGUCUGCCUGAGCCAGCCUUGAAGCUUGAGCAUUGCAGUGGGUCAGCUCUGUCCCCUGCAAGGAAGGCCUGGGGCUUGGGGAGCAGAGCCCGGCUUAAGUCUGGGCCCCACCGCCUAGAGCAAGUUACCUAAUUUGGCGCCUCCAGCUCUCUGGUUAGUAAGCCAGGGCAGUGACAGUCACCCACCUCCCAGGGUUGUUGAGAGGAUUAAAUGAGUCCACAUAAAGGACUUAGAACAAUGCCUGUCAGGGAUGUGCCCAGUGAGCUGGUUGUUACUCUCCCUGGGUUUGUGUUCACUGUAACAACCUCGAGUUCCUCACUGGGUGGUUUAAAUGCUCGUUAAGUAGAUUGGACGUUUUAAAUAUUCGCUCCCCGUCAUUAGACUCUUGUGCACCUUGUGGUUAAGAUCUGAAUAGAAAUCAUGUACCUUUUACAAUUAGAACUUUUUGGUUUUUUUUUUUUUUUUUUUAACUUCUUAAAAUUUCUUAAAAUUUUAAAAUCUGGGCCAUCUUCUGAGUUCUUCAAGAAAUCCUCUCACUUAGCUCUGAUUGUGACCGUGCGAAGACAGGGUCUUCUCCCUGUCGCCUCGGUUUCUCCCACUUACAAAUGGGCCAUUAUACGCCAGGCAUGGAUUGGGGGGAUGGAGCCACAAGAGGACAGGAGCCCCCCCCCCCCCAUGGACCACAUGCCCAUCCUCACCGAGGCCGCUGAGUGUAGUGAGGGUUUUGAACUUCACGUAACACAUUUUUGGGUCAUCAGUGCUUUUAUCACCAAGGCUGUUGAUGCUUCCGUGGCAGCAGGACACAAAGCCUGGCACUCGCUGCCCCUCCUCCCCUUCCCCCAAAUCAGUCUUACCGAUGACGUCAGACAGACCCUGAAGGAGGGCCUGUGAUUUUUCUUUUUUGGAGAACCUUUGGCUUUUAGUGAAGCAACUCAGGUCACACACCGCUGUCACUGUCCGAAGCACUGACUGUGUUAGGGGAACAUCAGAUCAGUAAGUUUGCUCGUUGUUCAUAAAAAUGAAGCUCCUAUAAGGCAGCUGAACUGAAUGUUCUAAAGCCUGGCUUCCAGCACGACACAUACUCAUCCCCCAAAAAAUGGUGAGGUUUCAUUUCCUUUUCUCAUUUUCCCAAAGGUGGUUAUUUUGGGCCUUUUCCAGAUGACGCCGAGGUGGUUUGUUGGGGGAGGAUCUAAAAUCCUGGUGGUUGUCAUGUUCCCACAUCAGCUUCUUUUCAUAACUCAGGCCUCCAAAUAGAGUUACGGUAGAGCUCCUGGAUGUGGGACUGGGUAGGUAGGUAAUUGUUAAUGCAGCUGAAAAGGCCAUCUAUCACCCUGAAUAAACAGGAAUCAGGUUCUUAAACCAGAUUGAAAGAAGGAAAUUACAUCACACUUUUAAAUAAGGAAGCGCCGGUCGGAACUGGAUGAGUUGUGUGACAAAAAUGUGCCCCUCCUUCUCCUGUGGAUUGCUGCAGAGAUUUAUUAAUGACAUCUGGUGGCCAGGUAAGCCUAUCUAGGUUACCAUCUUAAGGUAGCCUGGUUUUUUAAAGAACAGUUUCAGAGAGGCUAACAUCAAGCAAGGGGCACGUGGUUCCACCUUCAUAGGGAAUGUACAGUGUGCUUUUUGGUAUAACUACUUUUUUUUGCUUUUUCUUUUUUUAAAGAAAAGGACCUUUAAAUUCAGUAGCAAAACCACAGGUGCAUUAUCAUCCAGAGGAGAAGGUGAAAUUCACUGUUUCUAGAAAGCAUGCUCCUCCAUUGCUUUAAGGAAACAUUCAGUAACAGAAGCCAAUCUGGAAAGUUACAGUGUUAACCGUUUAAGCGUCUCAUUUUUACCCCAUCUCAAAACUGUCCAUCCACUUCGGAGUCUGGAAAUGAAUUUCCUGAGAAUUCCUUGCCUGCUCCAUGUCUUAGACUUGCCCCCUGACCAUCGGGUGAUGUCAGCUCAUGUUACCCUUUCCUUCUUCCCUGAUUUGUGUUCUACAUGAAUCUUCUGUGUACUUACUUUUCUAAAAGUGAGAUGAAUAUUUUCUCAAAACUCACUUAGUAAGUACAUGUGAGAAAUGAAUGAGUUCCCUGGUGGCCUAGUGGCUAAGGCUUCAGUGCUGUCGCCCCUGUGGUGCAGGUUUGAUCCCUGGCUCGGGAACGUCCACAUUCUGCCUGUGCAGCCAAACAAAAAAGAAAGAAAGGAAUGAGGCCAGAAUCUUGGGGGCGGUGGGGUAGGGGGGACUGGGGGAGAAGUCCCGUCCUAGAGAAUUGGGAGGAUGGAAGGGGAGAGGGCACAGCAUGGACUAACCCAAGACUGAAGAGACGAGGAAGGGAGUGGGUCUCGGAGAAGGUGGCGGGAGAGGCGGCCCCUAGGGGAGGUAGGUGGGGGCCUUGCCAGGAGGCCUUCGGCGCUGGGCGGGGCAGCUGCGAUGGGGAAGCCCUUGCAGACCCCUGGGCAGUGGACAUGGGCCCCUUGAGCUGUGGGUCAGCACCAGCUGUCGGGUGGGCAGGGGACUGGGGAUGUUCGGGCCCCGAGGCAGGUGGGACCCAGUGACCGGAAGGAAGAUGGGCUUUCGAGACAGUGUAGAGCGGGGCCCUGGGACUCGGGGGUGAAGUCGGGUGAGAAAGGGUGCCUUCCUGCUCAGCCCAGGAACUGGUUUGGGGACGGGGAAGGGGUGUGGAGCAAGCGACAGGCUGCGUUUGGUCUGUGGAGCUGCAGAUGCCAGAGGUACAUCCAAGUGGAAAGAUAAUCACCAGACAAUAGGAAGUGCAAAGUGGAAGCCUGAGCCAGGGCUGGAGUCCGGAGCCUUGGAUGCAGAGCUGAAGCCCUAGAUGGGAUCCGGUGGGGCAGGGGGCAUGAGGAGAGAAAAUAAAGGGACAGCCUCAAAAAACCAACGGUUUUAUAGGGUCGUUAGGUUUUUCCCUUGAAUUAAAAAAAAAAAAAAAAUCGAGUGAUGUGACCAGGAAAACAUUCGCACCAGGACUGGUAUGUAACUGCAUUUUUGACACCCUAAAAGGCUAUCGCUUCACUCCCGUAUUUUGGAAAGAUCACUCUGCCCAAGGUUAAUCGAAUCUAUACCAAGGUCUGUGCCAGGCUGCCUGGAUUAACCUUCGCUUUCCUGUUUUUGCAUUUCCCCGCAGAAUGCCGCCGGGGACUUGUUUUUCCCACACAGGUGUCUCUCUGCGGUUGUUCUCCUACGGAAGUAUAAAGCAGAGCUAGUGUGACCGUCACGUAAAGUUAAAUUUCACUUGCGCACCAUGUUUCUUUUGAACUUGAGGUUGACCAAAUUGACUUCUCCGAGGAGGAGAGAGAGAGAGAGAGAGAGAUUGAGAGGUGGGGGCUGGGGGGGGUGGGAGUAAAAGAAUCCCAGGAGCUUUCCCACCCUCAGUUUACAACCUGAGGGACACGCUUCAAAAGCCUGCCUCCCACCUCCCCGCAGGUUUGGCCCUUGUUUAGAGUCCGCAUUGGGGAGUUAUUUUCCAGAAGACGGGAGCACACAGCGCUGCUGCCCUCGGAGCUCCCAGGCAAGUCACUAGGAAGUUCGGACAGUUUCAUAACACAGCCCAUUCACAAUUCCCCAUUGAAAUGGAGAGGCAGGUCACCUCCUAUGAAUGCACAAAGACGCUAUUGUGGUCACAAGGGAGCUGCCUCAGUGAACACAAUUCUUUUUAUGCUAAAACAAUUUUUUUCUUAAGAAAGCUAACAAGUAGGUGCUGGAAACAAUGCAUAAAAACAUAACUUUUUCUAGAACGUAUAAAUACUGCUCAGGGACCAUUGAAAUGUAUGUUUAGACCUCGGUGGCAAUUUCAGCGCAGGCGAUCGUUACACAAUCAUUCUGUUGAAAGCUCAGAUUUAGACGGCGCUGGGCGGCUGACACACAGUAAUUACUGGUAGUGCCUGUUGGCCUGCAGACAGGUGGGGGUUGGGCCCCGAGACUCUGGGCAGCAUUCUCCUGUAAUCUGGACAGGGGAUCUUCAAACGUGUGCUUUCAAACCACUUAAAUACCAUAUUCUUCUUCCUAUCUGGGCUUUCAUUUCCACAUCACUACCGAUACCCUAGUCCUGCCAGUGCUUGUAGGCGGCUUGGGAAAAGCACCCUAAACCAGGGGCCAAGGACAGAGGGGAGUGUCUCGAAAUUUUUUUUUUUUUCAGAAGUUGUGUUUUUAAAUGUUUCUAACACCUUACACCUGAUUCAAGGGAGAUAAAAACAUUUCUUUCUAAUCUAAAAACCAGCCUUCAGAAACAGCAAAAAGAUCCCCCAGGAACUUACUUUUAGAUUUCUGACAUGAUGGGGCUUCCCCCCCCCAUCUUCUUCAUCAUGUACCUGUAGCGACUAAUAAAAGAAAAAUGAAUGCUUGACUAUUUGAAAUAUGUUCAACCUGUUUAAAUCUGCCUGCUAUAUUAAAACAGCCGACUUUGGGAGAAUGGGAGUGAGUGUCUUCAUAUGUGACUACGUCUAAAAAGCCAGAAGCGGUAAUCGGGCCUCAUCCUCCUUUGUCACCGAAACAUGACUAUCUUUCCAUUCCUUUUUAUG